RNAcentral lists this ribosomal RNA (852 nucleotides) under uncultured bacterium. RNAcentral's name for it is "SSU rRNA". It matches the Rfam family "Bacterial small subunit ribosomal RNA", at positions 524 to 1381 of the family's 1533-position model. The record is from RNAcentral.
UACGUAGGGUGCGAGCGUUAAUCGGAAUUACUGGGCGUAAAGCGUGCGCAGGCGGUUUUGUAAGACGGAUGUGAAAUCCCCGGGCUUAACCUGGGAACUGCAUUUGUGACUGCAAGACUAGAGUGUGUCAGAUGGAGGUGGAAUUCCGCGUGUAGCAGUGAAAUGCGUAGAGAUGCGGAAGAACACCGAUGGCGAAGGCAGCCUCCUGGGAUAACACUGACGCUCAGGCACGAAAGCGUGGGGAGCAAACAGGAUUAGGUACCCUGGUAGUCCACGCCCUAAACGAUGUCAACUAGUUGUUGGGGAUUCAUUUCCUUAGUAACGUAGCUAACGCGUGAAGUCGACCGCCUGGGGAGUAUGGCCGCAAGGUUAAAACUCAAAGGAAUUGACGGGGACCCGCACAAGCGGUGGAUGAUGUGGAUUAAUUCGAUGCAACGCGAAAAACCUUACCUACCCUUGACAUGUCGAGAACUUUUCAGAGAUGAAUUGGUGCCCGAAAGGGAACUCGAACACAGGUGCUGCAUGGCUGUCGUCAGCUCGUGUCGUGAGAUGUUGGGUUAAGUCCCGCAACGAGCGCAACCCUUGUCCUUAGUUGCUACGCAAGAGCACUCUAAGGAUACUGCCGGUGACAAACCGGAGGAAGGUGGGGAUGACGUCAAGUCCUCAUGGCCCUUAUGGGUAGGGCUUCACACGUCAUACAAUGGUCGGUACAGAGGGUCGCCAACCCGCGAGGGGGAGCCAAUCCCAUAAAACCGAUCGUAGUCCGGAUUGCAGUCUGCAACUCGACUGCAUGAAGUCGGAAUCGCUAGUAAUCGCGGAUCAGCAUGUCGCGGUGAAUACGUUCCCGGGUCU